RNAcentral lists this long non-coding RNA (218 nucleotides) under Homo sapiens (human). Its description in RNAcentral is "HSALNT0234360". Lineage: Eukaryota; Metazoa; Chordata; Mammalia; Primates; Hominidae. The record is from RNAcentral.
GAAUAUUCAGCUCAGACCCAGGUAGAAUAGAGGUGACUUGGCAGAAGAGGAGGAGUUUCCAAGUCACAAGGACCACACUUGUAAACAUGAGGUUGCUGAAGCCAGGAGCAGCAGGAAAAACCACCUUCAAGGCUACUGCAUCAAAGCAAUGGACUUUGCGGAACAACGAUGAAUGGGCCAGAGGGGGGCCUGUGCGUACUCUCACAGCAUAAUAAGGU